Molecule: ribosomal RNA, 440 nt
Filed under: uncultured bacterium
Lineage: Bacteria
Description: partial 16S ribosomal RNA
Rfam family: Bacterial small subunit ribosomal RNA
Source: RNAcentral
CCUACGGGAGGCAGCAGUGGGGAAUAUUGCACAAUGGGGGAAACCCUGAUGCAGCGACGCCGCGUGAGUGAAGAAGUAAUUCGGUAUGUAAAGCUCUAUCAGCAGGGAAGAAAAUGACGGUACCUGAGUAAGAAGCCCCGGCUAACUACGUGCCAGCAGCCGCGGUAAUACGUAGGGGGCAAGCGUUAUCCGGAUUUACUGGGUGUAAAGGGAGCGUAGACGGGAGUGCAAGUCUGGAGUGAAAGGCGGGGGCUCAACCCCCGGACUGCUCUGGAAACUGUACGGCUGGAGUGCAGGAGAGGUAAGUGGAAUUCCUAGUGUAGCGGUGAAAUGCGUAGAUAUUAGGAGGAACACCAGUGGCGAAGGCGGCUUACUGGACUGUAACUGACGUUGAGGCUCGAAAGCGUGGGGAGCAAACAGGAUUAGAUACCCCUGUAGUC